GGUUAAGCGACUAAGCGUACACGGUGGAUGCCCUGGCAGUCAGAGGCGAUGAAGGACGUGCUAAUCUGCGAAAAGCGUCGGUAAGGUGAUAUGAACCGUUAUAACCGGCGAUGUCCGAAUGGGGAAACCCAGUGCAAUUCGUUGCACUAUCGUUAACUGAAUACAUAGGUUAACGAGGCGAACCGGGGGAACUGAAACAUCUAAGUACCCCGAGGAAAAGAAAUCAACCGAGAUUCCCCCAGUAGCGGCGAGCGAACGGGGAGCAGCCCAGAGUCUGAAUCAGCUUGUGUAUUAGUGGAACGGUCUGGAAAGUCCGACGGUACAGGGUGAUAGUCCCGUACACCAAAAUGCACAGGUUGUGAACUCGAAGAGUAGGGCGGGACACGUGGUAUCCUGUCUGAAUAUGGGGGGACCAUCCUCCAAGGCUAAAUACUCCUGACUGACCGAUAGUGAACCAGUACCGUGAGGGAAAGGCGAAAAGAACCCCGGCGAGGGGAGUGAAAAAGAACCUGAAACCGUGUACGUACAAGCAGUGGGAGCACCUUCGGGUGUGACUGCGUACCUUUUGUAUAAUGGGUCAGCGACUUAUAUUCUGUAGCAAGGUUAACCGUAUAGGGGAGCCGCAGGGAAACCGAGUCUUAACUGGGCGUUAAGUUGCAGGGUAUAGACCCGAAACCCGGUGAUCUAGCCAUGGGCAGGUUGAAGGUUGGGUAACACUAACUGGAGGACCGAACCGACUAAUGUUGAAAAAUUAGCGGAUGACUUGUGGCUGGGGGUGAAAGGCCAAUCAAACCGGGAGAUAGCUGGUUCUCCCCGAAAGCUAUUUAGGUAGCGCCUCGUGAACUCAUCUUCGGGGGUAGAGCACUGUUUCGGCUAGGGGGUCAUCCCGACUUACCAACCCGAUGCAAACUACGAAUACCGAAGAAUGUUAUCACGGGAGACACACGGCGGGUGCUAACGUCCGUCGUGAAGAGGGAAACAACCCAGACCGCCAGCUAAGGUCCCAAAGUCAUGGUUAAGUGGGAAACGAUGUGGGAAGGCACAGACAGCCAGGAUGUUGGCUUAGAAGCAGCCAUCAUUUAAAGAAAGCGUAAUAGCUCACUGGUCGAGUCGGCCUGCGCGGAAGAUGUAACGGGGCUAAACCAUGCACCGAAGCUGCGGCAGCGACACUAUGUGUUGUUGGGUAGGGGAGCGUUCUGUAAGCCUGCGAAGGUGUGCUGUGAGGCAUGCUGGAGGUAUCAGAAGUGCGAAUGCUGACAUAAGUAACGAUAAAGCGGGUGAAAAGCCCGCUCGCCGGAAGACCAAGGGUUCCUGUCCAACGUUAAUCGGGGCAGGGUGAGUCGACCCCUAAGGCGAGGCCGAAAGGCGUAGUCGAUGGGAAACAGGUUAAUAUUCCUGUACUUGGUGUUACUGCGAAGGGGGGACGGAGAAGGCUAUGUUAGCCGGGCGACGGUUGUCCCGGUUUAAGCAUGUAGGCUGGUUAUCCAGGCAAAUCCGGAUAAUCAAGGCUGAGGUGUGAUGACGAGGCACUACGGUGCUGAAGUAACAAAUGCCCUGCUUCCAGGAAAAGCCUCUAAGCAUCAGGUAACAUCAAAUCGUACCCCAAACCGACACAGGUGGUCAGGUAGAGAAUACCAAGGCGCUUGAGAGAACUCGGGUGAAGGAACUAGGCAAAAUGGUGCCGUAACUUCGGGAGAAGGCACGCUGGUGUGUAGGUGAAGUCCCUGCGGAUGGAGCUGAGACCAGUCGAAGAUACCAGCUGGCUGCAACUGUUUAUUAAAAACACAGCACUGUGCAAACACGAAAGUGGACGUAUACGGUGUGACGCCUGCCCGGUGCCGGAAGGUUAAUUGAUGGGGUUAUCCGUAAGGAGAAGCUCUUGAUCGAAGCCCCGGUAAACGGCGGCCGUAACUAUAACGGUCCUAAGGUAGCGAAAUUCCUUGUCGGGUAAGUUCCGACCUGCACGAAUGGCGUAAUGAUGGCCAGGCUGUCUCCACCCGAGACUCAGUGAAAUUGAACUCGCUGUGAAGAUGCAGUGUACCCGCGGCAAGACGGAAAGACCCCGUGAACCUUUACUAUAGCUUGACACUGAACAUUGAGCCUUGAUGUGUAGGAUAGGUGGGAGGCUUUGAAGCGUGGACGCCAGUCUGCGUGGAGCCAACCUUGAAAUACCACCCUUUAAUGUUUGAUGUUCUAACGUUGGCCCCUGACCGGGGUUGCGGACAGUGUCUGGUGGGUAGUUUGACUGGGGCGGUCUCCUCCCAAAGCGUAACGGAGGAGCACGAAGGUUAGCUAAUCCUGGUCGGACAUCAGGAGGUUAGUGCAAUGGCAUAAGCUAGCUUGACUGCGAGCGUGACGGCGCGAGCAGGUGCGAAAGCAGGUCAUAGUGAUCCGGUGGUUCUGAAUGGAAGGGCCAUCGCUCAACGGAUAAAAGGUACUCCGGGGAUAACAGGCUGAUACCGCCCAAGAGUUCAUAUCGACGGCGGUGUUUGGCACCUCGAUGUCGGCUCAUCACAUCCUGGGGCUGAAGUAGGUCCCAAGGGUAUGGCUGUUCGCCAUUUAAAGUGGUACGCGAGCUGGGUUUAGAACGUCGUGAGACAGUUCGGUCCCUAUCUGCCGUGGGCGCUGGAGAAUUGAGGGGGGCUGCUCCUAGUACGAGAGGACCGGAGUGGACGCAUCACUGGUGUUCGGGUUGUCAUGCCAAUGGCACUGCCCGGUAGCUAAAUGCGGAAGAGAUAAGUGCUGAAAGCAUCUAAGCACGAAACUUGCCCCGAGAUGAGUUCUCCCUGAGACUUUAAGUCUCCUGAAGGAACGUUAAAGACGAUGACGUUGAUAGGCCGGGUGUGUAAGCGCAGCGAUGCGUUGAGCUAACCGGUACUAAUGAACCGUGAGGCUUAACCUU
RNAcentral lists this ribosomal RNA (2902 nucleotides) under Klebsiella pneumoniae. Its description in RNAcentral is "23S ribosomal RNA". It matches the Rfam family "Bacterial large subunit ribosomal RNA". Lineage: Bacteria; Pseudomonadati; Pseudomonadota; Gammaproteobacteria; Enterobacterales; Enterobacteriaceae. The record is from RNAcentral.